This 739-nucleotide ribosomal RNA is filed under the name uncultured bacterium. RNAcentral describes it as "bacterial SSU rRNA". It matches the Rfam family "Bacterial small subunit ribosomal RNA", at positions 8 to 796 of the family's 1533-position model. The record is from RNAcentral.
AGAGUUUGAUCCUGGCUCAGAACGAACGCUGGCGGCAGCCUAACACAUGCAAGUCGAGCGCCCAGCAAUGGGAGCGGCGGACGGGUGAGUAACACGUGGGAAUGUACCUUUCGGUACGGAACAACGCAGGGAAACUUGCGCUAAUACCGUAUACGCCCUUACGGGGAAAGAUUUAUCGCCGAGAGAUCAGCCCGCGUUGGAUUAGCUAGUUGGUGAGGUAACGGCCCACCAAGGCUACGAUCCAUAGCUGGUUUGAGAGAACGAUCAGCCACACUGGGACUGAGACACGGCCCAGACUCCUACGGGAGGCAGCAGUGGGGAAUCUUGGACAAUGGGGGAAACCCUGAUCCAGCCAUGCCGCGUGAAUGAUGAAGGCCUUCGGGUUGUAAAGUUCUUUCGCACGCGACGAUAAUGACGGUAGCGUGAGAAGAAGCUCCGGCUAACUUCGUGCCAGCAGCCGCGGUAAUACGAAGGGGGCUAGCGUUGUUCGGAAUUACUGGGCGUAAAGCGCGCGCAGGCGGCUAAACAAGUCAGAGGUGAAAGCCCGGAGCUUAACUCCGGAAUUGCCCCUGAGACUGUUUGGCUUCGAGUACGGGAGAGGUGAGUGGAAUUCCGAGUGUAGAGGUGAAAUUCGUAGAUAUUCGGAAGAACACCGGUGGCGAAGGCGGCUCACUGGCCCGUUACUGACGCUCAGGCGCGACAGCGUGGGAUCAAACAGGAUUAGAUACCCUUGUAGUCC